Molecule: ribosomal RNA, 497 nt
Filed under: uncultured bacterium
Lineage: Bacteria
Description: bacterial SSU rRNA
Rfam family: Bacterial small subunit ribosomal RNA
Source: RNAcentral
GACGAACGCUGGCGGCGUGGAUUAGGCAUGCAAGUCGAACGGUAGGAUACCUUCGGGUAUCUGAGAGUGGCGAACGGGUGAGUAACACGUAGGUGAUCUACCCUCAAGAUUGGGACAACCCAGGGAAACUUGGGCUAAUACCGGAUGAAAGCAGCAGUGAUGUUGUUUGAAAGGUGGCGUAAGCUGCCGUUUGGGGAUGAGCCUGCGCUCUAUUAGUUAGUUGGCGGGGUAAAGGCCCACCAAGGCGAUGAUAGAUAGGCGGCCUUAACGGGUGGUCGCCCACACUGGGAUUGAGAUACGGCCCAGACUCCUACGGGAGGCAGCAGUCGAGAAUAGUCUACAAUGGUCGGAAGACUGAUAGUGCGACGCCGCGUGAACGAUGAAUCCCUUCGGGUGUAAAGUUCUUUUAUAUGUGAGCAGUGCUUCUUAUAUUAACAGUAUGGGGAGAGAGAUAUUAGCAUAUGAAUAAGCAACGGCUAACUCCGUGCCAGCAGCCG